UAAGCCAUGCAUGUGUAAGUACACACUCUAGUACAGUGAAACUGCGAAUGGCUCAUUAAAUCAGUCUUGGUUUAUUUGAGAAUGAACUUACUUGGAUAACUCUGGUAAUUCUAGAGCUAAUACACGCAAGAUGCGGCGACUUCACGGAAACCGCAGCUUUUGUCAGUACCAAGGCCAAUACGGCACUCGUGGCCGUUUCCCUGGUGAAUCUAGACAACAAGUGGAUCGCAUGGCCCUCGCGCCGGCGACGCAUCUUUCAAGUGUCUGCCCUAUCAACUUUCGAUGGUAGGGUAUUGGCCUACCAUGGUUGUAACGGGUAACGGGGAAUUAGGGUUCGAUUCCGGAGAGGGAGCCUGAGAAACGGCUACCACAUCCAAGGAAGGCAGCAGGCGCGCAAAUUACCCACUCCCGACUCGGGGAGGUAGUGACGAAAAAUAACGAUGCAGGGCCCAUUGGGUCUUGCAAUUGGAAUGAGUACACUUUAAAUCCUUUAACGAGGACCAAUUGGAGGGCAAGUCUGGUGCCAGCAGCCGCGGUAAUUCCAGCUCCAAUAGCGUAUAUUAAAGUUGCUGCAUUUAAAAAGCUCGUAGUUGGAUCUCAGGCCCCGGAACGCGGUUCCCUUCUUGGGUAUACUGCGGUCCGGGCCUUCAAGACUCUGCGGUUUACGGCGGUGCACUUUAUUGUGUGUCGUCGUGCCCCGCAACUUUUACCUUGAAUAAAUUAGAGUGCUCAAAGCAGGCAAGUCGCCGGGAUAGUUCAGCAUGGAAUAAUGGAAUAGGACCUCGGUCCGGUUUCGUUGGUCUUAUGGACUGAGGUAAUGAUUAACAGGAACAGACGGGGGCAUUCGUACUGCGGCGCUAGAGGUGAAAUUCUUGGAUCGCCGCAUGACGAACUAGUGCGAAAGCAUUUGCCAAGAAUGUUUCCAUUAAUCAAGAACGAAAGUCAGAGGGUCGAAGGCGAUCAGAUACCGCCGUAGUUCUGACCAUAAACGAUGCCGACCGGCAAUCUGCAGACGAGUCAUUUUUCCCUGCAGGCAGCCUUGGGGAAACCAGAGUUUUCAGGUUAUGGGGGAAGUAUGGUUGCAAAACUGAAACUUAAAGGAAUUGACGGAAGGGCACCACCAGGAGUGGAGCCUGCGGCUUAAUUUGACUCAACACGGGAAAACUCACCCGGCCCGGACACAGUGAGGAUUGACAGAUCGAGAGCUCUUUCUUGAUUCUGUGGGUGGUGGUGCAUGGCCGUUCUUAGUUGGUGGAGUGAUUUGUCUGGUUAAUUCCGAUAACGAACGAGACUCCAGCCUGCUAAAUAGGCGACGUGCCCUCUGUGGCACGUCUGUCUUCUUAGAGGGACAAUCGGCGUAUAGCCGGAUGAGAUGGAGCAAUAACAGGUCUGUGAUGCCCUUAGAUGUUCGGGGCCGCACGCGCGCUACACUGAAAGAGUCAACGUGUGCCCACCCCUACUCCGAGAGGAGCGGGUAACCCUGUGAGCCCCUUUCGUGAUGGGGAUAGGAGAUUGCAAUUGUUCUCCUUGAACGAGGAAUUCCCAGUAAGCGCAAGUCAUAAGCUUGCGUUGAUUACGUCCCUGCCCUUUGUACACACCGCCCGUCGCUACUACCGAUUGAAUGAUUUAGUGAGACCCUCGGAUUGGGGCCUGUCGGCUGCUUCGGUGGUCGUAAGUGCU
Molecule: ribosomal RNA, 1680 nt
Filed under: Sterreria monolithes
Lineage: Eukaryota; Metazoa; Xenacoelomorpha; Nemertodermatida; Nemertodermatidae
Description: SSU rRNA
Rfam family: Eukaryotic small subunit ribosomal RNA
Source: RNAcentral